GGGCCAGUGAUCUAGUGGUUAUGAUGCAGGCUUGACGUGCCUGAAGUCCCAGGUUCAAAUCCUGGCUGGCCCACCA
This 76-nucleotide transfer RNA is filed under the name Candidatus Helarchaeota archaeon. RNAcentral's name for it is "tRNA-Val". It matches the Rfam family "tRNA". From Rfam's summary of the family: Transfer RNA (tRNA) molecules are approximately 80 nucleotides in length. Their secondary structure includes four short double-helical elements and three loops (D, anti-codon, and T loops). Lineage: Archaea; Promethearchaeati; Candidatus Helarchaeota. RNAcentral also lists the same sequence under 1 other name. The record is from RNAcentral.